Molecule: ribosomal RNA, 104 nt
Filed under: Ectopseudomonas chengduensis
Lineage: Bacteria; Pseudomonadati; Pseudomonadota; Gammaproteobacteria; Pseudomonadales; Pseudomonadaceae
Source: RNAcentral
CUUGACGACCAUAGAGCGUUGGAACCACCUGAUCCCAUCCCGAACUCAGUAGUGAAACGACGCAUCGCCGAUGGUAGUGUGGUGCUUCACCAUGUGAGAGUAGG